This 416-nucleotide ribosomal RNA is filed under the name uncultured bacterium. RNAcentral describes it as "bacterial SSU rRNA". It matches the Rfam family "Bacterial small subunit ribosomal RNA", at positions 29 to 436 of the family's 1533-position model. The record is from RNAcentral.
AACGAACGCUGGCGGCGCGCCUAAUACAUGCAAGUCGAGCGAGAAGACGUAGCAAUACGUUUGUAAAGCGGCGAACGGGUGAGGAAUACAUGGGUAACCUACCCUCGAGUGGGGAAUAACUAGCCGAAAGGUUAGCUAAUACCGCGUACGCUCCUUGGACUUCGGUUCAGGGAGGAAAGCGAUACCGUGGGUAUCGCGCUCUUGGAUGGGCUCAUGUCCUAUCAGCUUGUUGGUGAGGAACGGCUCACCAAGGCUUCGACGGGUAGCUGGUCUGAGAGGACAAUCAGCCACACUGGCACUGCGACACGGGCCAGACUCCUACGGGAGGCAGCAGUAAGGAAUAUUGCGCAAUGGGCGAAAGCCUGACGCAGCGACGCCGCGUGGGGGAUGAAGGUCUUCGGAUUGUAAACCCCUUU